CAGAGGAGCCAAGCGUUGUCCGGAGUAACUGGGCGUAAAGCGCACGCAGGUGGUCCUGUGCGUGGGGUGUGAAAGCUCUCGGCUUAACUGAGAGAGGCCACCUCAUACGGCAGGGCUCGAGCCCGUGAGAGGUCCACGGAAUUGCCGGUGUAGUGGUGAAAUGCGUAGAGAUCGGCAGGAACACCCAGGGGGAAACCAGUGGACUGGCACGGUACUGACACUGAGGUGCGAAAGCGUGGGGAGCGAACCGGAUUAGAUACCCGGGUAGUCCACGCCGUAAACGAUGAAUACUCGGCAUCUGGUGGGCGAUUUUCGUCCGUCGGGUGCCCCAGCUAACGCGGUAAGUAUUCCGCCUGGGAACUACGAGCGCAAGCUUA
RNAcentral lists this ribosomal RNA (377 nucleotides) under uncultured organism. RNAcentral's name for it is "bacterial SSU rRNA". It matches the Rfam family "Bacterial small subunit ribosomal RNA", at positions 526 to 896 of the family's 1533-position model. The record is from RNAcentral.